GCUGCUGACGUUGUAGUGGUUGGGGAUAUAUUUGUUGUCAUAGAAGCUACAGUUGUUGUUGUAGGUGCUGCAGUUGUGGUUGUCGUAGCAGCUUCAGUUGUAGUUGUCGUAGCAGGUGCUGCAGUUGUGGUUAUCGUAGGAGCUUCAGUUGUAGUUGUUGAAGUAGGUGGUGUAGUUGUGGUGGUAGGAGCUACAGUUGUACUUGGAGCUACAGUUGUGGUUGUCGUAGGAGCUACAGUUGUCGUUGUAGGUGCUGCUGUUGUAGUGGUCGUAGUAUCUAAAGUUGUAGUAGGAGUAUCAGUUGAGGUUGUCGUAGUAGCUGCGUUUGUAGUGGUCGUAGUGGGUGCUUCUGUUGUAAUGGUCGUGGGAUCUAAAG
This 376-nucleotide long non-coding RNA is filed under the name Salmo salar (Atlantic salmon). RNAcentral's name for it is "lncRNA (ENSSSAG00000114499.1)". The record is from RNAcentral. Lineage: Eukaryota; Metazoa; Chordata; Actinopteri; Salmoniformes; Salmonidae.